CUAAGAAUAUUCCGCAAUGGACGGAAGUCUGACGGAGCGACGCCGCGUGGAUGACGAAGGCCGAAAGGUUGUAAAGUUCUUUUGCUGGGGAAGAAUAACCGCAGGAGGGAAUGCCUGUGGGAUGACAAGAACCGGCGAAUAAGCCCCGGCCAACUACGUGCCAGCAGCCGCGGUAACACGUAGGGGGCGAGCGUUGUUCGGAAUUACUGGGCGUAAAGGGCAUGUAGGCGGCUUGGAAAGCCUGGCGUGAAAGUCUGCAGCUUAACUGCAGGGGUGCGCUUGGAACUGCUGAGCUUGAGUGACGGAGAGGGAGCUGGAAUUCCUGGUGUAGGGGUGAAAUCUGUAGAUAUCAGGAAGAACACCGAUGGCGAAGGCAAGCUCCUGGCCGAUGACUGACGCUGAGGUGCGAAAGUGUGGGGAUCAAACA
This 427-nucleotide ribosomal RNA is filed under the name uncultured bacterium. RNAcentral describes it as "bacterial SSU rRNA". It matches the Rfam family "Bacterial small subunit ribosomal RNA", at positions 355 to 774 of the family's 1533-position model. The record is from RNAcentral.